GCACACCCAGCCGGCCCCGGCGGUGGGGCAGCGGCGCGGGGCGCGCACGGCCCCUUUAAAUUCCAGCUGUGCGGCGGGGGGCAGCACCGCUGGCGGCGCGGCGCGGCGCGGGCUGGGGCCGGGGCCGGCUGCCGGUGCGCGGCGGCGGGGAGCGCGCAACCUGCGCCCGGGGGAGGUAGCGGCUCCGGCGCCGCGGUCCCUCGCGGAGGCGGAGAGGAUGAGGGUGGCUUCUGGCUGCUUUUUUUGCCUCCUCGAGAUGAUUUCCAUAGUAACCUGAUCGAGCGGUGCAAUUUCGGAAACUGGGGUGGCUUUAUUAUUAUUAUUAUUAUUAUUUUUAUUUUUUUUCCAUUUUUUUCUCCGCUUCUUCCCUCCCACCUCGUCGGCCCCCGAGGAGUGACAGGCGGCAGGUUCACAGUCAGAAUGUGACCUUACAUAAAAUGGAAACCUGUGAAGAAAGUCACAGAUAGCAGCUGUGGGUAGUACUGGAAGAAUAUUUAUCUUCUUAAGCAUCAGCUUUUUAAAACGCUAUGGUGAUUUGGAAAGUCCCAAGAGUGAACUGUGAAGUUUUCUUCAGCUCGUUCAAUGGAUUUCUUAGGCAUUUCUACAAAUCAUUGAUGUCUAGAGAUGAUGUGUGAUGGAAAAAGCACCCUGCCUGUGCGUUUAUAGCCCCUGUUUUUUGGAUUAGUUUGCUGCAUUGCUGAACCAAUUUUGUUUUGAGGGCAAGGAGUGAAUGUGAUGGAUUUAUCUUCAGAGAUGAACAAACAUGGAAGGAAUCCAGUAAGUCACAAACUAGAAGAUCAAAAAAAGUUCCACCGUGCUGUAGGAAGCAAUGUAGAUAGUCAGAUGGGGUGAAAUCUUUCUGAUGUGACCUCUGAAUACACGUCUUGUGUUGAGAAAUAUUUGACUGAGAAACGUGGUAAGAAGAACAUGAUUUCUGUGCAUGGUUUGCCAAUGAUAGGUUCAGUAAAAUAAGAACUCCGCCGUAAAUUCUCAUAAAUUUCCUGUGAGGGUGAUGAGACACUGGAUGAGUGUCUCAUCCAGAGAGGCUGUGGAUGCCCCCUCCCUGGAAGCACUCAAGGCCAGGCUGGGUGGGGCUGUGAGCAACCUGGCCUAGAGGGAGGUGUCCCUGCCUAUAGCAGGGGGUUGGAACCAGGUGAUCUUAAGGGUCCCUUCCAACCCAAACCGUUCUAUGAUUAUGUGGAAAAAAAAAGUAUAGAGAAGCUACAACCGCAUGUUUUUUAGAUUCCUCAGCAUCUGAACUUUGAACUUUCUAACAGAAUAUAUAGAACCCAAUGUUGUAGUGAUUUAAUUGAAAGGAUAUAGUUUGGUUCCUGUUAUGCAUUAAGUGAUUGCUCUGACAGCUAUUCCAUUUAAGGUUGAUAGCUCCAGUCAUUUCUAACACUUUGACUGUAGACCAUCCCUCCAUAGGAGUACUAUGCUAAUGCUGAGCUUCAAACUUUUACUUCCUAAUUUGCUUCUGAACAAAGUCAUCUCCAUAGCAAAAUUUAUGUGAUGAGUCCAACAAGAGCAGCCCGACAGGUAGAAAGUCUUCACCUCACCUUUUGUACUAAUUUCAUUCUCUGUAAAUUAGACAGCUGAUUUAAACUGCAAGAUGUCAAGACAAAAUUUGAUUCACACCAGUUUUAUGUUUUGUAACUGCAGCAGUUUCAGUGAUGCCGCUACUGAUGCCAAGAUCUCUUGGUGCAGACUGGGGAGAGUCAGAGGAUAGAUGAUAGAUGAUGCAGACAUAGGAAAUGUUUAUCUGCAAAUAUAUUUUCAAUAGCUUUUAAAUAAAUAAAUAGGUAAAUAAAUGCAAGAUUGAUUUUCCAUAGGGAAAUUUCACAACAAACUCUUGAUUUCACCUAUGUGAACAUAACUUCAUUUUAGCUGAUUACAUAUUUUAAUACAAUUGAUGUGUGGUUGGAUUGUAAAUAAAUAGAAACCUCUAAUUAAUGGAAUUUACAUGAGAUGUAGGUGUGUGAUAUGAUAGACUGUAACAAACAUUUUGCUGAUUACACUAAAUAUCUGAUACAUAUUUUAUAUUAGUGAUGCAUUACAUUAGGUUUUGAUUAGACUUAAUGAGAUUUACUUGAAGUCUCCGACAGUACUCAAAUUACAUCAAAAAUUACAGAAAUGGAAUAAAAUGAAAAUACUCUCCUUCAGUUUGGUUGAAGUGGCCUUAAUUUAUAUUAUUAUUCAGCCCAUUGAGUUCUUUGAAGAAUAUCCAAGCUGUUUCCACACUUAUUUUUAUAGGGAUGUGGUUUAAAUAAAAGAACUAUUGAAACUGUUCUUGUAUGCAGCCACAUACAUUGUCAUUACUGGCAGAAUAUCAUCCCAUUCCUUUGAAAUUAGAAAUGUUUGUCAGCUAUAACAGGUUUCAGAUAUGUUUCUCUGUGAAUUCUAAUUAACACAUUAUGUUUAACGGGCUGCCCUGAAGCCUUUGCCUUAUUUUUAUAAUGAUUAUUUCUAGCGGAUUCAAAGCCACCAUGUAUGAGUUUUGCUAAAAAACAUCUGAUUUUUCUGUCUCAGCCUUCAUUUUUUACAGUUUUUGUUAUUUGAAGCUCCAGUCGAUCAGUGCUACUUGUGCCAGAGAAUUAUUGCAUGGAGAGACAAUUGUAGCCCAAUUUUAUCUCUAGAAUCUCUAGAAUUGAAAAGAAAAGAAAAAAAAGCACAAAAAAGUCCCAAUAAAAUGCAUCAGACAAGUGGUAGGAGAACAUUAAUGUCUUCAGUCCCAUAGCAGUCUAACUGCCAAAUCAGCAAGAGAUGCUGCUGUCCUGACUUGCAGAUUGGAUCCAGCUGGCUGCCCACCAGCAUUGGCAGACAGUGAGUUUUAAGCAGGAUGCUUCUGGUGCUGUUAUCCCAGCUUUCUUUCCAACCACACUGUCUUCACACAGCUAACCGGGCAGGUCACUCUUUUGGGACUGAUCUCUCUUUUGGACAUAAAAGUGGUUUCAGGUCCCUGGCCGGUGUUCUUUUAUCAGAGGAGAGGACUUUGUGUUGGGUUGCCUGACAGAUGCACAUCCGAUGUGACAGUGAAAGAACUGGGUCUGGGAGACAUUGCAUCUGGCAGAAUCUGCUGGUUUACAGGUCAAGAAACAGUCCAUUCAAGGACACUACCAGCCAGCGACUUUCACUAAUCCAACAUACAGAUCAUGUUGGAAGGGUUCUGCAAAUUUUUUUCUCACCUCAGAUUUACAUGAUGCUCUUCAUAGCUUUUACACCUUGAAAUUUAACUGUGGGGUUGAGAUUUUUUUGUCUUGGAGAGA
Molecule: long non-coding RNA, 3266 nt
Filed under: Gallus gallus (chicken)
Lineage: Eukaryota; Metazoa; Chordata; Aves; Galliformes; Phasianidae
Source: RNAcentral